Molecule: transfer RNA, 73 nt
Filed under: Candidatus Woesearchaeota archaeon
Lineage: Archaea; Nanobdellati; Candidatus Woesearchaeota
Description: tRNA-Gln
Rfam family: tRNA
About the family: Transfer RNA (tRNA) molecules are approximately 80 nucleotides in length. Their secondary structure includes four short double-helical elements and three loops (D, anti-codon, and T loops). Further hydrogen bonds mediate the characteristic L-shaped molecular structure. tRNAs have two regions of fundamental functional importance: the anti-codon, which is responsible for specific mRNA codon recognition, and the 3' end, to which the tRNAs corresponding amino acid is attached (by aminoacyl-tRNA synthetases). tRNAs cope with the degeneracy of the genetic code in two manners: having more than one tRNA (with a specific anti-codon) for a particular amino acid; and 'wobble' base-pairing, i.e. permitting non-standard base-pairing at the 3rd anti-codon position.
Source: RNAcentral
AGCCCUGUAGUGUAGCGGCCAAGCAUGCGAGGUUCUGGGCCUUGCGACUCAGGUUCGAAUCCUGGCAGGGCUA